UGGGGAAUAUUGGACAAUGGGCGAAAGCCUGAUCCAGCCAUGCCGCGUGUGUGAAGAAGGUCUUCGGAUUGUAAAGCACUUUAAGUUGGGAGGAAGGGCAGUAAGCUAAUACCUUGCUGUUUUGACGUUACCGACAGAAUAAGCACCGGCUAACUCUGUGUCAG
RNAcentral lists this ribosomal RNA (164 nucleotides) under uncultured bacterium. RNAcentral describes it as "partial 16S ribosomal RNA". It matches the Rfam family "Bacterial small subunit ribosomal RNA", at positions 355 to 511 of the family's 1533-position model. The record is from RNAcentral.